RNAcentral lists this ribosomal RNA (467 nucleotides) under uncultured bacterium. RNAcentral describes it as "partial 16S ribosomal RNA". It matches the Rfam family "Bacterial small subunit ribosomal RNA", at positions 28 to 507 of the family's 1533-position model. The record is from RNAcentral.
GACGAACGCUGGCGGCGUGCUUAACACAUGCAAGUCGAACGGAAAGGCCCUGCUUUUGUGGGGUGCUCGAGUGGCGAACGGGUGAGUAACACGUGAGUAACCUGCCCUUGACUUUGGGAUAACUUCAGGAAACUGGGGCUAAUACCGGAUAGGAGCUCCUGCUGCAUGGUGGGGGUUGGAAAGUUUCGGCGGUUGGGGAUGGACUCGCGGCUUAUCAGCUUGUUGGUGGGGUAGUGGCUUACCAAGGCUUUGACGGGUAGCCGGCCUGAGAGGGUGACCGGCCACAUGGGGAAUGGGGACGGGCCCAGACCCCUACGGGGGGCAGGGGGGGGGAAUUUUGCGCAAGGGGCGGAAGCCGGAUGGAGGAACCCCGGGGGGGGAAUGAGGGCCUUCGGGUGAAAAACCGUUUUCCCCUGGGACGAAGCGUGGGGAAGGGAAAUGGGUAAAAAAGCACCGGCUAACUAGUG